RNAcentral lists this long non-coding RNA (1530 nucleotides) under Heterocephalus glaber (naked mole-rat). RNAcentral's name for it is "lncRNA (ENSHGLG00000039627.1)". The record is from RNAcentral. Lineage: Eukaryota; Metazoa; Chordata; Mammalia; Rodentia; Bathyergidae.
CGGGAUUUGUAGUUUCGGGGCGUCCCCGGCGUGCACCACGCGGGCAGGGUGCUAUAGUGGCUCAUGUCAUAAUCGCGAGGCGUCACGGGAGCUGUAGUUUCUGGACGCCCCGGCUCGCCGAACAGAUCGCUGGGAGCAAAGGGGCUUUGCAGGAGGAGCGUCCCGGUCCGUAAUGGCCUGGGUUCGCGUCUCGAUUUGUGCUUUGUGCGCGCUCCGUGUGGCGCUGGCCACUGUGUUCUUCCAGGAGGAGUUUCUGGACGGAGGUGACGGGCGACGCCUGGGCGGGCGGAGCUUCGCGCCCCCCUGCCCUCGCCCCCAUUUACCCCCGGAGCGCUGACCGGUGUUGUCCCCGCAGAACACUGCAGGAACCGCUGGGUGCCGUCCAACGACUCCCGGCUCGGCCACUUCCGACUCUCGUCGGGGAAGUUCUAUGGUCACAAAGAGAAGGACAAAGGUCUGCAGACCACGCAGAACAGCCACUUCUAUGCCAUCUCCGCUCGCUUCAAGCCAUUCAGCAACAAGGGCCGGACGCUGGUGCUCCAGUACACGGUGAAGCAUGAACAGAAGGUGGACUGCAGCGGUGGCUACGUGAAGGUCUUCCCAGCCGACCUGGACCAGAGGGGCCUGAACGCCAGGUCCCCGUACUACAUCAUGUUCGGUGCGUCCCACCUUCAAGGCUUGGCUCACUGCCCGGCCAUGCAGCAAGGGGCUCUGACCCCAGGUGUCCAUGCUGUGUGAUCUGCCCGUGGGGCUCGGCACCCCUAAUCCGAACCUGACACCAAGGAGCUCUCAAACCCGGAACUUUGUCUUCGAUGCGGGGGAUGAAGCCCGGGCCUGGGACAGGUUAGGCCAGCACCCCGGCCCUGGGGUGUUUUCAGUGCCAACAUGACACUCCGAAAAUGGACAUCUCAGCUGGGCCUGGUGGCCACGCCUGGGAUCCCAGCACCCUGGUAGGCUGAGGCAGGAGGAUCGCAAGGGACCUGAUAUCUGUGGAUUUGAUCUCAAGAAAGUUCAUGUUAUUUUACAAUUCAAGAAUGAGUAUCAUGCAAACAAGAAAUCGAUCAAGUGUAAGGGCCCGGAGAAGGAGAUGGAUGACAUCCUGAUCAAGGAGGAGGUGACCAGAGCCCGCGAGGAGGAGGAGGAGGAGCUGCCGGCGGGCAGGUUCCACGGGGCUCAGGGGCCCUUCCCUGAGUUUCAGAGGCAGAACGAGCUGUAGUUCUCCCUGCUGCGGAGGGCAGAGGUGACUGGGGCCUGGCGUGGUGGUGCACGCCUAUGACCUCAGCACUGUGGAGGCUGCGGCAGGAGGAUCGCCUUGAGUUCCGGGCCAGCCUGGGUUACACAGUGAGUUUGAGUUUAAGGCAGCCUGAACUAUACGGGGAGACCCUGUCUCACUGUCCUGCCCCCCCCCCCCGCAAAAGAAAAGAAAAGAAAACCGUCCCCAGGCUCCUUAGUGGGGUGGGUUGCAUGUCUCCCCAAGACACCUACACUGGAAGGUUCCCUCCACGGAUCUGCACAGCAAAGACACAGCGC